This 550-nucleotide ribosomal RNA is filed under the name uncultured archaeon. RNAcentral's name for it is "bacterial SSU rRNA". It matches the Rfam family "Archaeal small subunit ribosomal RNA", at positions 325 to 879 of the family's 1478-position model. The record is from RNAcentral.
ACGGGGCGCAGCAGGCGCGAAAACUUUACAAUGCGGGAAACCGUGAUAAGGGAACUCCGAGUGCCCGUAAAAUCGGGCUGUCCAUCUGUUUAAAUAACAGGUGAAGAAAGGGCCGGGCAAGACCGGUGCCAGCCGCCGCGGUAAUACCGGCGGCUCGAGUGGUGGCCACUAUUACUGGGCUUAAAGCGUUCGUAGCUGGUUUGUUAAGUCUCCCGGGAAAUCCAACGGCUCAACCGCUGGGCGUUCGGGGGAUACUGGCAAUCUAGGGAUCGGGGGAGGUGAGAGGUACUCUAGGGGUAGGAGUGAAAUCCUGUAAUCCUUGGGGGACCACCUGUGGCGAAGGCGUCUCACCAGAACGACUCCGACGGUGAGGGACGAAAGCUGGGGGAGCAAACCGGAUUAGAUACCCGGGUAGUCCCAGCUGUAAACGAUGCGCGUUAGGUGUAUCGGUGACUACGAGUCACCGAGGUGCCGAAGGGAAACCGUGAAACGUGCCGCCUGGGAAGUACGGUCGCAAGGCUGAAACUUAAAGGAAUUGGCGGGGGAGCAC